Molecule: long non-coding RNA, 1302 nt
Filed under: Homo sapiens (human)
Lineage: Eukaryota; Metazoa; Chordata; Mammalia; Primates; Hominidae
Description: non-protein coding LINC00337:4
Source: RNAcentral
AAGUUUUUCUUUACUUUUUAAAGAGUAAAUUCUCUCACCUCAGGUAGCUCAGAGAGCUGCGCUGGAGGAGAAAAGCCAGUCCUGGCAGGAGCUCUGGUACCUGGGAAGCUGGAUGGAGAGCCUGGGCCAGAAUCCCGGACCCCUCACCUCUGCGGCCUAGCUUUGUGACCUUGGCAAAUCCAUUCUAUGCACCUCCAUUUCCUGUACAGUGGGGAUCCUUAUUUCUCUGGCACAGAUUGGUAUUUGUUCUGUAAAGCCCAGUACCACUUUAUUUUAUUUUAGUUAUUGAUUUUUUUGAGACAGGGCCUCACUCUGUUGCCAAGGCUGGAAUGCAGUGGCGAGAUCAUAGCUCACUGCAGCCUCAAACUCCUGGGCUCAGGCCAUCCUCCUGCCUCGGCCUCCUGAGUAGCUGGGACGACAGGCGUGCACCACUGCGCCUAGCUCCAGUACCAUGUUUAAACGGUGCUCAGAAAACGUGCUAAACUUGGUGGAUGGGAAUUGAAAAGAGAUUUAAUGUUUUAAAAAUCAAAGUCACUCAGCUGCAGUGCCACAUGGGAAGGAGGCCUGGAUGUGAAUGUUCCUGGGAGCUGAGAGCUCCUGUGACUGUCGCCAGUUUCCUGUGGUCUCCCACAGACUCAGGACAUCUCCCUCUGCUCCAGGACACCUCAGGACCACCAGAGGGCACUCAUCGCACCUUCACCCCUGGAAGGGAGCUGGUCCUGGGGCCAAAACCCACUGUGCCUGGGAAGCCCUUCCUGGCUUCUGCUCUCCUCAAUGUAUGACAGCCCUGAUUUACCCCCAGGGACUGUUGCCACUCGGGGUUGUAGAGUAAUAUGUAACCAGACUGGAGAACCACAGCAAUGCUCUCUCCUCUGCCCAUCACCUCCCCUUGGCCCCUCCCUCUUCAUCAGCCCCAUUUUGGAGAAGGGAGAAAGAAGGGAGAGGCAGCAGUCUCCUCCCAGGUGGGGCCGGACUCCAGGGAAGGAGAAUUUUCAGAAGUUGCUGGAGUUGCCGAAUCUGUCAGGGCCCAGGGUUCACAGAGCAGUGAUGGAGGAGAAAGGAGAGGAAGCAGAUCUAAGCACACAUGGGCAUCAAACCAGAGGAACAAAGUCACAUGCAGAGGGCUGCACAUAGACACAGGGAAACACACACACGGAGAUGCACAGAAACACGCAGACCCCAUGCAGGGACCUGCUUUCCCGCCACAGAGGAAAGCAAUCUGAUCAAACAGACCCACUGUGCACCCAGCCCUCCAUGCUUGGGGACAACACACCUACAAAAAUAUAAGAAAAAAAAGGAAAA